CGUGGAUGAACUUCCGCUGAAUAUCGAUUGUAGAAAUAUAUCUGUUUUUUUGUUUGUUUGUUUGUUUGUUUUAUGUUUGUUUGUUUUAGAAGUUAUGAAAUACUUAAUCAUUGGAAUUUGUAGUCGGACUAUAUACGACCCAAAACCUGAAAUAAACUGGAAUUACAGACCGUGCAGCAGGGGGCAAUAGGGAGUGUUUGUGUGAGAGGAGACGCGCCCGGAGGAGACGAAGAAGUGUUUGGAGUUUCCGCGGCAGUGUUUGGGUUUGAAACGAUAUUAAAAAUAAGCACACAGCCUGAAUUGCAAUGGCUCUUAAGAUGGACAAGAAACCAAACACAAUACAGCAGACUGCUGCAAAAAUAAAGACAAAAAUUCACAACACAUCCUCAUUCUUCAAGCUUUCUUUGAAAACCAACAACAAAGCCCUUAUUUUGGCUCUGGUAGCUCAGAAGCAGAAAUCCAAGCAGCUUGAGAUGGAAACGGUGCGUUUACAGAAAUAUCUGCAGAGCCUGAACUUUGAGCUUGCCAUUCAGCGUCACAAAAAUAAACAAAUGUUUACAGUUCUGCGUGAGUUCUAUAAUACCUCCAUCAAUUGCAUGGCUAAGGCUGUGGACUUUAUUUCCAAAGAAGAGGGUGAUGAGAGCUUGGAUAUGGAGCUCACUGAAGAUUCUUCUCCGACUGAGAAAGCUGUAACUGCACCGUUACCUGAGACAAAAAAAAGAACCAGUGUAUACAAAUGUGGGCAAAAGAGGAAUGUCCAGGACCCUGGUGGAAAUGUGCCAAUGGCAAAUGAUGGUCAACCUAACAGGUCUUCACCUAAAAGCAAGGAUAACUCUCCCAGUCCAGAUGUGCACAAUACAGCCCCUCAAAAUGCUCUGUAUGACUCGGAGAUGGAGAUCACUGUAGUUGACAACGUUGCUGAAAUCAUCACCGUAGAGACCAAACCGAAGAAAAACUUUAAGCAUGACCAGAGAGGAACUAGAGAAAUUGGUGAAUCUAGUUCAGCAAGGGUUAGAGAGAGCAUUGUGCUGAAUUCUGAAGAAGCAGCAGUGGAAUCGUCUCCUCUAAAGGAUCCAACUGCAAAUGCAUCUAAACGAAUGUUUUGUGAAACACAACUCCAAACAAGUACACACAUUUUCACUGGAAGCAAUGAAGAGGAGAGUUUGCCUCAGUGGGUGGAGCCUGAGCAUGAGGAAGAGGAAUCAGUCACAGCACGCAGAAAGACUCACAUCACCUCUCGUUACACAAAAAGCAACAAACGAUUAAAUUCUCAAAAACCUAUUUCAGGAUAUACCAAUACAAGGCAAACAUAUGUCAUCUCUCCGCACGAGUCCAGCUUUAUUUCCACCAGUGAUGAUUUAGAUGAUUAUUUUAGUGAACAAAAUCAUAGAAUGAGCAAGAACAAUUUAUCUGACUCUAAAGUAUCUGAAGACAAAGGCACUGAAAGUGAAGCUGAAGUGUUGAAACCUCAGAACAAUAGUGCAAAGAGCAGGAAAACAUACAUAGUCCCAUACAAGCAAAGACUACAGAACAGGAAGACUAAAGUUUCAUCUUUCAGUGCAGAUCAAAGUGUAAAGGAGAUUGCUGAAUUCACUGAUGCUCACACUGAUGUCCAGGAAAACCAGAUCCACUCAGAAAAACCUCAAAGCAAGCAAUCAGCUCAGUCAUUCUCUCAGACAGAAGAAUGCAUUACACCAAGAAACAGAGGAACAUUUGUGAUUCAUACAGCUCAGAUGAACGUCACAUCUGGGGAAACCACUAAUGCAAAGACUUUGGAAAGCGCAUGUGAUGCCCAGUGUACCUCAGGGGUCACUGAGAGGCAGCAAGCAGAGAAAGAAGUGUCUCACAAAGAGGAAAACAGAAGUGUUUUACACUCGCAAACUAUCUGUGAUGAAAAUAUUUUAGAAAAUUCCUCUGAUCAUUCUCAAAUGGCACACAGUAAAGCCAAGAAGCCCAAGACAACUGUGAUGAAAGAAAGCAAAAAUGUUGCAACAAAAGAAAAUGCAUCAGGAAAGAGACGACGGCCCAAAUAUAGCUCUAAACAGAUUGCUGAUAUUUUGCCAAAAGAAAUUCCAGUUCCAGGUGACAAUACAAAGAGAAACAGCACUACUUCUAAGGUAUUGCAGGAGGUAACAGAUGGAUUCAAUUCGUCUGCUCUUGAGGAAGCUUUCAUGGAUGAGCCUGUAAUUGAUACUGGGGACACAAACGGCAUACAUGUGAGACACCUUGACCAUAAUGACGACAUUGACAUAAGUUUAAAAGAUGUCAGUCCAAAGCAUCACAACAUCCAAAACCACAAGAGCAAGUGCAGAGAAACCUAUGUUGUUUUAUCUGAUUGCUAUUCACAGUUAAAGGGAAAGGAGAAUGUUCUCGUUUUCAGCAGCAAUGAAGAGAAUUUACCUGCAAAUAGAGAAAGUGAGAAUUGUUUUGUUACAGAUAGAAGAUUUGUUCUUUGUCAUAAGAAUGAGAGUCAGUCAACCGAGAAAAAAGCAGAGCAGCUUAGACAGGAACACAGUGGAUUAUUCUUUGAGGAUAGGCCUCCAUGGGAAUCCCUUGAUUUUGCCUCCACUGGGAGUAUUAUUUCUGACAGCCCUGUCAAAAUCCAGAAGAAUUCACAAGAGAUUUCAUCACGAUCUAUGGACAUUUAUGAGGAGCCUGGGUGGAACAUGACUCAACAAUCUCCAGAUGGGAGGGCAAUGAAGAGCUUAACAAACACAGACUUCACAGCCAAUCCGUUGGGUCGAUCCCGCAGGAAGGCAGCUCCUGUGUCAUACAAGGAGCCACCUAUCAACUGCAAAAUGAGACGUGGAGACAAGUUCUCAGAUACCAGAUUCUUACGUUCUCCAGUGUUUAAAAACAAAAAGAAGAAAAAGGUUCUGUAUGUGUUAAGGAGCAUUUGGCUCAUUAUGGUUUGGCCAUAACUGUGGCUAUAUGGUUGGCAAAUGAGAAAAGGUGUGCAGAUGCAAAUCAACUUAUAGGAGCUAUCAGUACCAGACACAGACACUGUCUUAAUCAACUGGAAAGAGAGGCAAUAAUACUCUCAUCCUUUGCAGGGAUACUUUUGAAUAGCUUACCUGUAAAUGAGAUCCUGUCGCUGUAUACCUGCAAACCAACUGCCUCCUGCCUUCAUCCAGACAAUAAAGUGAGAAGAGCAUUGUUUUAAAAUAUAUGCUGUUACAGUAAACACGAAUGACAAGGAGGUUUGAUAUGGCCCUGGUGUUAUUUACCAAAGACAACAUUUAUUUUUCUUAUAUACCUUAUAUCUUAUAUUAUUUUUGAACUUAUUAAUGGACUUUCCAUUCGUUUUAAUUAUUUAGUGUUGUGGUAUGUCUGAAAAACAUUAUACAUACUAAGACAAAAGCUGAUAUAUAUAAUCUGCUUUUAAUGAGACCAAAAACAGUUACUUCUUCCAUAAAUAUCAAUAAUUUCGUAUUCUAUAAGCCUUUACUGUAUCAGAUUAUACAUUUUUAUUUGUUAAACAACAAAGAUUUACUUUAUUGCUUUCAUGUUAAUAUUCUUUAAUAAUGUAGAGCCUUCUACACAAGUUUCUGUAAAUGAGUUGUUACUAUAGAAACAACAAUAUUCGAAUUAGCACAUGAAUAUGAAACUGUGACUUACAUGACAGUAUGUAUGAUCCGUGCCAUUAUAGAGAAUUAAUCAGUGCUUUCUGACCAAUUAGGUUCAAGAAUCCAAAAAACCCUAGCUGUGUAUAAGUAUAGAUGUAUAGAAUUUAACAAAACUUGAUUCUGUGUUUUAUGGUAAACAUUUGAAAGGCAGAGUCCAGCAUAGUUUGGUGCUUUUACUCAUUUAGCAAAAGACUGGAGUCAGGAACUUACUGUAUUAUCUCACCUCCACUGUUGCAAUUUCCACAGAGCACCAUCGUUCAUCCUUUCUCCUUGUCCUAUCACCCGUUUGCUAUGCUCAGUUCAUUUAAGGCAGUAGACCGUGCAAGAAAACACACUCAGAUGCUGAAAAGGUGGAAUACUCUGCGGACUAAAGGAGCAUCAGAAGCACUGGAGA
RNA transcript from Tachysurus fulvidraco (yellow catfish), 4020 nucleotides. It is a transcript of the gene named shugoshin 2, with no coding region annotated. The record is from RefSeq and is a predicted model, not a curated record. Lineage: Eukaryota; Metazoa; Chordata; Actinopteri; Siluriformes; Bagridae. The transcript has 13 exons.